Molecule: ribosomal RNA, 253 nt
Filed under: uncultured bacterium
Lineage: Bacteria
Description: partial 16S ribosomal RNA
Rfam family: Bacterial small subunit ribosomal RNA
Source: RNAcentral
UACGUAGGGUGCGAGCGUUGCCCGGAUUUAUUGGGCGUAAAGGGCUCGUAGGCGGUUUGUCGCGUCGGGAGUGAAAACCUCGGGCUUAACUCGGGGCUUGCUUUCGAUACGGGCAGACUGGAGGUAUGCAGGGGAGAACGGAAUUCCUGGUGUAGCGGUGAAAUGCGCAGAUAUCAGGAGGAACACCGGUGGCGAAGGCGGUUCUCUGGGCAUGACCUGACGCUGAGGAGCGAAAGUGUGGGGAGCGAACAGG